CUUUACUGUAGCCUGGAAUGGUGUUCGGGCUUCGCUUGCGCAGAAUAGGUGGGAGGCAUUGAAGGUUCUCUUGUGGGAGGACUGGAGCCUAAAUGUGAGAUACCACUCUGGCGAGGCUAGAAUUCUAACCCUGACCCGUGAUCCGGGCGGGGAACAGUUUCAGGUGGGCAGUUUGACUGGGGCGGUCGCCUCCAAAAAGGUAACGGAGGCGCGCAAAGGUUCCCUCAGGCUGGUUGGAAAUCAGCCCUUUGAGUGUAAAGGCAGAAGGGAGCUUGACUGCAAGACUGACAAGUCAAGCAGGGUGGAAACACGGCCUUAGUGAUCCGACGGCACAGAGUGGAAUGGCCGUCGCUCAACGGAUAAAAGUUA
RNAcentral lists this ribosomal RNA (369 nucleotides) under uncultured organism. RNAcentral's name for it is "bacterial LSU rRNA". It matches the Rfam family "Bacterial large subunit ribosomal RNA", at positions 2099 to 2465 of the family's 2925-position model. The record is from RNAcentral.